Molecule: ribosomal RNA, 497 nt
Filed under: uncultured bacterium
Lineage: Bacteria
Description: partial 16S ribosomal RNA
Rfam family: Bacterial small subunit ribosomal RNA
Source: RNAcentral
GAUGAACGCUGGCGGCGUGCCUAAUACAUGCAAGUCGAGCGAACAGAUGAGGAGCUUGCUCCUCUGACGUUAGCGGCGGACGGGUGAGUAACACGUGGAUAACCUACCUAUAAGACUGGGAUAACUUCGGGAAACCGGAGCUAAUACCGGAUAAUAUAUUGAACCGCAUGGUUCAAUAGUGAAAGACGGUUUUGCUGUCACUUAUAGAUGGAUCCGCGCCGCAUUAGCUAGUUGGUAAGGUAACGGCUUACCAAGGCAACGAUGCGUAGCCGACCUGAGAGGGUGAUCGGCCACACUGGAACUGAGACACGGUCCAGACUCCUACGGGAGGCAGCAGUAGGGAAUCUUCCGCAAUGGGCGAAAGCCUGACGGAGCAACGCCGCGUGAGUGGUGAAGGUCUUCGGAUCGUAAAACUCUGUUAUUAGGGAAGAACAAAUGUGUAAGUAACUAUGCACGUCCUGACGGUACCUAAUCAGAAAGCCACGGCUAACUACGUG